AGUCGAGCGCACCUUCGGGUGAGCGGCGGACGGGUUAGUAACGCGUGGGAACAUACCCUUCUCUAAGGAAUAGCCACUGGAAACGGUGAGUAAUACCUUAUACGCCCUUCGGGGGAAAGAUUUAUCGGAGAUGGAUUGGCCCGCGUUAGGUUAGAUAGUUGGUGGGGUAAUGGCCUACCAAGUCUACGAUCUAUAGCUGGUUUUAGAGGAUGAUCAGCAACACUGGGACUGAGACACGGCCCAGACUCCUACGGGAGGCAGCAGUGGGGAAUCUUAGACAAUGGGCGAAAGCCUGAUCUAGCGAUGCCGCGUGAGUGACGAAGGCCUUAGGGUCGUAAAGCUCUUUCGCCAGGGAUGAUAAUGACAGUACCUGGUAAAGAAACCCCGGCUAACUCCGUGCCAGCAGCCGCGGUAAUACGGAGGGGGUUAGCGUUGUUCGGAAUUACUGGGCGUAAAGCGCACGUAGGCGGACUAUUAAGUCAGAGGUGAAAUCCCAGGGCUCAACCCUGGAACUGCCUUUGAUACUGGUAGUCUUGAGUUCGAGAGAGGUGAGUGGAAUUCCGAGUGUAGAGGUGAAAUUCGUAGAUAUUCGGAGGAACACCAGUGGCGAAGGCGGCUCACUGGCUCGAUACUGACGCUGAGGUGCGAAAG
RNAcentral lists this ribosomal RNA (651 nucleotides) under uncultured Alphaproteobacteria bacterium. RNAcentral's name for it is "bacterial SSU rRNA". It matches the Rfam family "Bacterial small subunit ribosomal RNA", at positions 60 to 759 of the family's 1533-position model. The record is from RNAcentral. Lineage: Bacteria; Pseudomonadati; Pseudomonadota; Alphaproteobacteria.